CUGUUCACAUCCAAAAGGUACGGUUCAUCAUCAUUUUCUUUAGGUUUAUGGGGUUUGUUUGAAGUUGGUUUAGGAUGUAUGGUUUCUAUGAAAUUGGUUUAGGGUUUAGGGGUUUCUAUGAAAUUGGUUUAGGGGUUUCUCUGAAAUUGGUAUAGGGUUUAUGAGUUUCUAUGAAAUUAGUUUAGGGGUUUAUCUGAAUUUGGUUUAGGGUUUAUGGGUUUCUCUGAAAUUGUUUGAUUGUGAUGAUUCCUUGUUUGAAACAGUGAAGGAGUGUGUUCUUUGUUCUUUGUUUGAAACUGCUGUUGUUAUUGGUAUCAUAUUGCUGUUUUAUUGCUAUUUUGUUAUAGUUUUAUUCCCGUUCCAUUGUGGUUUUAAUGGUUUUGGCGAUUUAUGCAAUUGGAUUCUGUGUUUGUUUGUUGUUUUGUUUCAUCCAAAGAAGGGAAAUUGUAGGUAUUCAUUUAUAGUCUCUACAUUAGGCACCCUUCGAAGAUCACAUAUUAUUGGCUCAAGCUUGCGAUUGAGGCUUUAAGGGGAGAGGCAUAUAUAUGAGGAAAUCCUUUAUAUGAAGAUGCUGACAUCGAAGCUGUGCUGGAAGUGCUUUAUAUGGUCAUCCAUCCAUUUUGAUAGAGCUAUUUGGUUUAGGUAUUCUGUGUAGUAAGGUGAAAUAAUUUCCAGGGUCUUCGGCCAUGUUGUACAUGGUGAAAUGUAAUAUUGUACAGUCGGUGGCGGUGGCUAAUUGCCUUACAUGGCACAUAAACUAUUUCCGUUUUUGGCUAAUUGCCUUACAUGGUGAAAUGUAAUAUUGUACAGUCGGUGGCGGUGGCUAAUUGCCUUACAUGGCACAUAAACUGUUUCCAUUUUUGGAUUUUGUUUUCAAGUUGCAAUCGUGGUUAGCAUACUUAUUCUUUA
Prunus dulcis (almond) is the source of this 909-nucleotide long non-coding RNA. RefSeq lists it as uncharacterized. The transcript is spliced from 2 exons. Lineage: Eukaryota; Viridiplantae; Streptophyta; Magnoliopsida; Rosales; Rosaceae. The record is from RefSeq and is a predicted model, not a curated record.